ACUGGCAACCACCAUUCUACUUUCUGUCUCCAUGAAUUUGACUACUCCAGGCUGCUGUGCAUUUUAGAGAAGUUCUUACGUGAUACUGAAAAAAGUGCCAGCUCAAAUGUAAGACUUAAAACUAAUAAAGAGGUUCCGGGAUUAGUUCAUCAACCCAGAGCAAACAUGCACAUCUCUGAAAGCCAACAAGAAUUCUUCAGAAUGCUGGAUGAAAAAAUUGAAAAGGGUCGGGAUUACUGUUCGGAAGAAGAGGAUAUCACAUAGCACCAAUUUUACCACUCAAACCAGGAGCUACUACUGUGUAAAUAGGUUACACCCCAGUUGAAAUCUUUGCAAAGGUCGGUUCUAUUCAGCGAACAGCACUAUAGCAAAAGAAGAUCGUUCCAUAUUGUACGCCCCAUUAAAUUACAGUGUUUCUUAAUGAACUUGCAAAGGAAUAUUGCUAAAAACAAACAAAAAAAACUGUUAUCGAACUUUCUUUGUUGCUGCUAGUUAAAACUUGUUGCAACUUUUCACUUCUCUUGUGUCCAGGUAUGCAGCAAAAUUCUGCAAUUUCACCUUAAAGAUACUGUUGGUUUUACAGAUGCUCUCCAACCUAUUUUCUAUAAGAUGAGGUAGUGGUGAACUCAGAUAACAAACUUCUC
Molecule: small RNA, 644 nt
Filed under: Pan troglodytes (chimpanzee)
Lineage: Eukaryota; Metazoa; Chordata; Mammalia; Primates; Hominidae
Description: processed transcript
Source: RNAcentral